RNAcentral lists this ribosomal RNA (1522 nucleotides) under Salmonella enterica. Its description in RNAcentral is "bacterial SSU rRNA". It matches the Rfam family "Bacterial small subunit ribosomal RNA". RNAcentral also lists the same sequence under 1 other name. The record is from RNAcentral. Lineage: Bacteria; Pseudomonadati; Pseudomonadota; Gammaproteobacteria; Enterobacterales; Enterobacteriaceae.
AGAGUUUGAUCAUGGCUCAGAUUGAACGCUGGCGGCAGGCCUAACACAUGCAAGUCGAACGGUAACAGGAAGCAGCUUGCUGCUUCGCUGACGAGUGGCGGACGGGUGAGUAAUGUCUGGGAAACUGCCUGAUGGAGGGGGAUAACUACUGGAAACGGUGGCUAAUACCGCAUAACGUCGCAAGACCAAAGAGGGGGACCUUCGGGCCUCUUGCCAUCAGAUGUGCCCAGAUGGGAUUAGCUAGUUGGUGAGGUAACGGCUCACCAAGGCGACGAUCCCUAGCUGGUCUGAGAGGAUGACCAGCCACACUGGAACUGAGACACGGUCCAGACUCCUACGGGAGGCAGCAGUGGGGAAUAUUGCACAAUGGGCGCAAGCCUGAUGCAGCCAUGCCGCGUGUAUGAAGAAGGCCUUCGGGUUGUAAAGUACUUUCAGCGGGGAGGAAGGUGUUGUGGUUAAUAACCACAGCAAUUGACGUUACCCGCAGAAGAAGCACCGGCUAACUCCGUGCCAGCAGCCGCGGUAAUACGGAGGGUGCAAGUGUUAAUCGGAAUUACUGGGCGUAAAGCGCACGCAGGCGGUCUGUCAAGUCGGAUGUGAAAUCCCCGGGCUCAACCUGGGAACUGCAUUCGAAACUGGCAGGCUUGAGUCUUGUAGAGGGGGGUAGAAUUCCAGGUGUAGCGGUGAAAUGCGUAGAGAUCUGGAGGAAUACCGGUGGCGAAGGCGGCCCCCUGGACAAAGACUGACGCUCAGGUGCGAAAGCGUGGGGAGCAAACAGGAUUAGAUACCCUGGUAGUCCACGCCGUAAACGAUGUCUACUUGGAGGUUGUGCCCUUGAGGCGUGGCUUCCGGAGCUAACGCGUUAAGUAGACCGCCUGGGGAGUACGGCCGCAAGGUUAAAACUCAAAUGAAUUGACGGGGGCCCGCACAAGCGGUGGAGCAUGUGGUUUAAUUCGAUGCAACGCGAAGAACCUUACCUGGUCUUGACAUCCACGGAAGUUUUCAGAGAUGAGAAUGUGCCUUCGGGAACCGUGAGACAGGUGCUGCAUGGCUGUCGUCAGCUCGUGUUGUGAAAUGUUGGGUUAAGUCCCGCAACGAGCGCAACCCUUAUCCUUUGUUGCCAGCGAUUAGGUCGGGAACUCAAAGGAGACUGCCAGUGAUAAACUGGAGGAAGGUGGGGAUGACGUCAAGUCAUCAUGGCCCUUACGACCAGGGCUACACACGUGCUACAAUGGCGCAUACAAAGAGAAGCGACCUCGCGAGAGCAAGCGGACCUCAUAAAGUGCGUCGUAGUCCGGAUUGGAGUCUGCAACUCGACUCCAUGAAGUCGGAAUCGCUAGUAAUCGUGGAUCAGAAUGCCACGGUGAAUACGUUCCCGGGCCUUGUACACACCGCCCGUCACACCAUGGGAGUGGGUUGCAAAAGAAGUAGGUAGCUUAACCUUCGGGAGGGCGCUUACCACUUUGUGAUUCAUGACUGGGGUGAAGUCGUAACAAGGUAACCGUAGGGGAACCUGCGGUUG